UCCCUCUGACUGGCCGAUGGGAGGUUAUAAACACGGAAUUCCCCUGUUUGUAGAACCAUUAAGUCUCCAACAAUACAGCUAGUCCUCCAGAGGCUCAGCGGAGACGGACGGAUGCAGGUCUCUUCGGGUUGGAGCAUGCAGUAAUUAAACACAUCCAUCAGAUCAUGACAGUGUUGUCAGGAACGGCACACCGGGGGAACCAGACAAUGAUUGGGGUACCCAUGACAACCGUGAGGUAAAACAAAGGUGUCUCGUUUCCUGGCAGCCACUGGUUUUCCGAUCCAUUCACAUCCAUUCAUAUAUGAAACUUGCUUCAGAGAGCCAAUCCAUCACAAUGGCAACACACUCUCCUGUGUUCGGUAAUAGGUGGAUGUUUAUUUUUCUUGAAAGAGGCGUCAACCCUUUAUAAACAAUGGUAAGUUCAGCAAAGGGUGGAGUCAGUUAUAAUCCAUGUUACAUCUGCAGCUUAAGUCAUUUUGGAAUUUCUAAUUUGUGGACGAUUCAAAGUGAGUAAACAUUGAGAUUAAGCACCCAUUAAGUCUGCACCUGGAGUAGUAGAAAGAAGGCAGCAUGAUUAUAUCUCACUGCUAUCACCUAUUAAUUAUUGAAUUCUUAUUUUCAUAAAUAAAUAUCAUUUAAAAUCCA
Long non-coding RNA from Trematomus bernacchii (emerald rockcod), 645 nucleotides. RefSeq lists it as uncharacterized. Lineage: Eukaryota; Metazoa; Chordata; Actinopteri; Perciformes; Nototheniidae. The transcript has 3 exons. The record is from RefSeq and is a predicted model, not a curated record.